UAUAUACUGCCACCGGGUAGUGAAUGCGAAAAGCAUUUGUAAGCACAUCAUUAGGUCUUAGAAGAUGUGUAUACAAAUGCUUUUUUGUU
This 89-nucleotide non-coding RNA is filed under the name unclassified sequences. The record is from RNAcentral.